This 502-nucleotide ribosomal RNA is filed under the name uncultured bacterium. RNAcentral's name for it is "bacterial SSU rRNA". It matches the Rfam family "Bacterial small subunit ribosomal RNA", at positions 355 to 873 of the family's 1533-position model. The record is from RNAcentral.
CAAGGAAUUUUGCGCAAUGGGCGAAAGCCUGACGCAGCAACGCCGCGUGGGGGAUGAAGGCUCUCGGGUCGUAAACCCCUUUUGCUGGGGAAGUAACUGACGGUACCCAGCGAAUAAGCCACGGCUAACUACGUGCCAGCAGCCGCGGUAAUACGUAGGUGGCGAGCGUUGUCCGGAUUUACUGGGCGUAAAGCGCGCGCAGGUGGCCUGCCAAGUCUGGGGUGAAAUCUCUCGGCUCAACCGAGAGGGGUCUCUGGAUACUGGCAAGCUUGAGGAGAGCAGAGGAGAGUGGAAUACCCGGUGUAGCGGUGAUAUGCGUAGAUAUCGGGUGGAACACCAGUGGCGAAGGCGACUCUCUGGGCUCUUCCUGACGCUCAGGCGCGAAAGCGUGGGGAGCAAACCGGAUUAGAUACCCGGGUAGUCCACGCUGUAAACGUUGGGUACUAGGUGUGAGAGGUAUUGACCCCUUUCGUGCCGUAGCUAACGCGAUAAGUACCCCGCU